GCUGCAAGACAGAAGACAAUGGAGUCCAUUCACAUACGGUUGGGCCUCAUUGAUCUUGGGAAGAGAAGGAGCUGAUCCCCUUAGCUGUGAGGUCUUUACUCUUUUUCCCUUAUCAAGGUUUUAUCCCAAUGGGUUUUCCUUGGUAAGGUUUUUAAUGAGGAAGAUCUCAUAGCUAUCCAAGCUUAGGCUUUCACAAAGCUAAGCUUGAGGGGGAGUGUUGAGUUGAGUUGAUUAUAUUGGUAUGGAGAGAAGAGGAGUUGAAGAGGAGAAGAGAUGGAGAAGCUUAGGGAGUUUGGGUGUGAAUGGUACGGACGUCCGUACAAGGCCGUACAUGGCCGUACCGUCCGUACCAAAGGUCUCGACCAAAACUUACCCAACUCGACCAAGUGAAACGGUAACAAGGGAGUGUUACCUUGGGGACUUAAGGAGAAGGGAUCAGACCGUUGAGUGGAUAAGGGAAGAGCGUGCCAGGCUGGAACAGGCUGUAAAGAGGCAAAGCGUGUGAGCCUUACCAUCCAAUCAUCCGGAAAGCAACCUUGACUCUACAUGCUUCAAUAGUGCCCAUUUCGCCUCUUGUAAACCCUAAUGCUUUCCAUAUAAAUAUGUAACCUCACUCAUUAAUAAGAUCAGUCAGUUCGAG
Molecule: long non-coding RNA, 640 nt
Filed under: Brassica rapa (field mustard)
Lineage: Eukaryota; Viridiplantae; Streptophyta; Magnoliopsida; Brassicales; Brassicaceae
Description: long non-coding RNA (BRAP_LNC008118)
Source: RNAcentral